This is a transfer RNA of Fomitopsis pinicola, 109 nucleotides long. It matches the Rfam family "tRNA". From Rfam's summary of the family: Transfer RNA (tRNA) molecules are approximately 80 nucleotides in length. Their secondary structure includes four short double-helical elements and three loops (D, anti-codon, and T loops). The record is from Rfam. NCBI's taxonomy places the organism in Eukaryota, Fungi, Basidiomycota, Agaricomycetes, Polyporales, Fomitopsidaceae.
GCCCGCCUAGCUCAAUCGGAUAGAGCGUCAGACUCUUAUUCAAGGAUGGUUCGUUCUUUCCUUAGGCGGUGCAAUCUGAAGGCUGCGAGUUCGACCCUCGCGGUGGGCU